RNAcentral lists this unclassified non-coding RNA (2596 nucleotides) under Fusarium oxysporum f. sp. dianthi. Its description in RNAcentral is "partial contains 28S ribosomal RNA, 28S-18S ribosomal RNA intergenic spacer and 18S ribosomal RNA". The stretch from base 1 to 271 matches the Rfam family "Eukaryotic large subunit ribosomal RNA", at positions 3120 to 3401 of the family's 3401-position model. Lineage: Eukaryota; Fungi; Ascomycota; Sordariomycetes; Hypocreales; Nectriaceae. The record is from RNAcentral.
CUGAACGCCUCUAAGUCAGAAUCCAUGCCAGAACGCGGUGAUACCACCCGCACGUAUAGAUGGACAAGAAUAGGCUUCGGCUUAGCGUCUUAGCGGGCGAUUCUUCCACGGCGCUCGAAGCGCGUCGUGGUAUUUCGCGUAUUGUAAUUUCAACACGAGCGGGGUCAAAUCCUUUGCAGACGACUUAGCUGUGCGAAACGGUCCUGUAAGCAGUAGAGUAGCCUUGUUGUUACGAUCUGCUGAGGGUAAGCCGUCCUUCGCCUCGAUUUCCCCAAUGGGUUCUCCGGAUUUCUGGAGACUUGUAGGGGUUGUGGGUUUUUUCGAUGUGUCGUCUCCGGACGGGCGGUGCAGGGUAGUCGAGUUAGACUUGGUGGAAUUCGAUUCCGUCGAGUAUGGCUGGCACGAUCGUGUGCGGUUGUGUGUUGGACGGUGCAGGGUAGGCUGCUUGGACAUGGUCGGUUCGAGGAUCGAUUCGAGGGCCGGCCUGUCGAUGAUGUGUGAUGUAUGCGGUCUAGGGUAGGCUGGUUUGUCUUGGUCCAAUUUGAUGUCGGCUCCCGUGCAGGCUAGAGUGAGGGGGGUCCAGGGUAGGUACAGGGUAGGCAGCUUAGAUUUGGUCGAUCUGGAGGUCGAUUCUCCGGCUGGUGGAUCUGACCCUGUCGAAACGAGAUGCGAGCGGUGUAGGGUAGGCUAGUUUCGUCCUCGCCAGGUUGCGAUUUGGACGAGAUAUGUGGUCUAGGGUAGGCUCUAGGGUAAGUAGAAUUCGAGUUUCGUCGCCGACAGUUUUCUGUGGGUGUAUGGUAGGUACAGGGUAGGCAAAACUCUCUCCGGCCAGUACUUGUCUGGUGGUCGUGAGUCGAUUUUUUUGUUUUGCCAUACUAUUGAAUUUUGCGGAAAUUCAAAAGUGGCUCGGGAGUCCCGCCUGGCGUGCGUCCGACUCGAACAUCGUCGGUGUACAUAUGAGAGGGAGUAAUCCGGCCCGGCCGGGGCCCAUCGCGAGCUGCCGGGUAGGUAAAAGUAAAAAAGUUGUUAAGAGGCGCGGUGUCGGCGUGCUUGUAUUUGCGGGAGAGAAUUAUCUGGAGGUGCUGGGUAGCCGGGAAGACUUGGACGGAUCUGGCCCGGGAAUGGGUCUGGGCCUGGAUUCUGGUGUGGUGUAGGAUAGGCGUAGAUAGAUGAGUGGUCUAGGGUAGAUACAGGGUAGCCAGAAGUCUGGUAUAUAGUGUGGGGGGUGUAGGGUAGGUCUGGACACCGUUUUCCACUUCGCCCUUCCCUUUACUCGAGGGAGGACGAUCUUGGCUGGGAUGGAGGUGUAGGGUAGGCUUAAUUUACGAUUACAUGAUCUGUGUCACUCUAGGGUAGGUGAAAAUCCCAUAUAUAUCUGAUCACAUUUGGAGAAGAGGUGGUUUGGCUGGUGAGAUGGACAAAAGUGCAAUGUAGAAUUAUAUGUGAUUUUGCAAAAGUGGGUGUGAAAUUGGGAAAUCGGUUUCCCCGCACAGAUGAGAGCACGUUUGAGGUGCCAUGAGAUGCACCUCUCCGAGACGACCUCAACGGUACCACCGAUGUGUUGGUCCGGCUCCUGUGCGGCCGUCCAGGGCGGGAUAUGUAGAGAAUGUGGUGGUGUAGGGUAGGUGGCCAGGUCCAGGGUAGGUUCUCCAAAUCCGUCAAUCCGGCUUGAAUCGAAGGACAGGUCUAGGGUAGGCCAGAGUCGGGUCUAGGGUAGGCAGCUCUCACCCUCGAAGUGGUCUACCCGGUAGUCAACUUCAAUCGCCUCUCACGGCCGCCACGGACCUCGCAUGACGACGGGACCACCACCAUCGGAUUUGCCUUGGUCGAAAUAGUCGGUAUAUGCACUUUUGCAAAAAUGCGUGCAAAAUGGUUUUGUGGUUUGGUGGUCGUGAGUCGAUUUUUUUGUUUUCCCAUACAAAUGAAUUUUGCGGAAAAUAAAAAGUGGCCCACGAAGCAGUUCUGGCGUGCGGCCCACUAAAACGGUCUCGGAGGGUAUAUGAGAAGGGAGCAAAUCCGGCCGAGCCUGAAAGGGUGAGGACAAACCGGGCGAGCAACCUCUCAGUAUCAGAUCUUGCAGACUUCCACUGCGUGUCCCUCUGUACAGCUUUGCAGGCUCCGGCCUCGGCAGCGGGGGGUUCAUAGUGGUCGUCGACCUCCACGAAACUGCACGCUCCGGCGUGACAGCGUACUGGGGAUGCCUGUGUAGAUGCAGUCCGGGCUUGCCUGGACCGCUAGCAGAUGGGCUCUGUGGAUGACUGGCCGCUGGCUAGACCUGAAACCUGAGCAACGGGAGGUAACCUCUCGCCGCGGACACCGGAAUGGUAGAAGCGGCGUGCUGCGUCCUCCUCUUGGGGCCCCUAAGCCACACCUCCCAUAGCGGGUUCGGUGCGGCGGACGGACGCCCUGGGGAAUUUAGAGGGGGAAAGCGGAUUGCCCUAGCGGUGUUGUUGGCCCUGCCGACCUCACUGCGAAAGGCGCGACUUCACCGUCGCCACCCAGUAACUUGUCUCUCCGGCGCUUCACGGCGCUGGUGGCCAACCCCGGCACACGAUAGUUACCUGGUUGAUUCUGCCAGUAGUCAUAUGCUUGUCUC